RNAcentral lists this ribosomal RNA (301 nucleotides) under uncultured bacterium. Its description in RNAcentral is "partial 16S ribosomal RNA". It matches the Rfam family "Bacterial small subunit ribosomal RNA", at positions 509 to 807 of the family's 1533-position model. The record is from RNAcentral.
CAGCAGCCGCGGUAAUGCGUAGGUGGCAAGCGUUGUCCGGAAUUAUUGGGCGUAAAGGGCUCGCAGGCGGUUUCUUAAGUCUGAUGUGAAAGCCCCCGGCUCAACCGGGGAGGGUCAUUGGAAACUGGGAAACUUGAGUGCAGAAGAGGAGAGUGGAAUUCCACGUGUAGCGGUGAAAUGCGUUGAGAUCGGAAAGAACACCAACGGCGAAAGCACUCUGCUGGGCCGACACUGACACUGAGAGACGAAAGCUAGGGGAGCAAAUGGGAUUAGAUACCCGGGUAGUCCCUGUCUCUUAUAC